GCACGAGAGAAAGUGGGAGGAUGAGUGGAGUUUGUAAACCAGUAUAAGAGUAGAGAGGUGAGUAUGUAGAUGCUGUGUGUGGUUUACGUGUCGGGUUAAUAUAUGUGGAGGUUUGAGUGGACAUGUAUACGGAAUGCGAUUCCGAUAAACCACUGGAGCGAGCUAGCAACACGUAAACAGAUUUAUGUUCAUGUAUUACAUGUAAGGAAUCACAUCCUACUGGAUAUCCUUCCGUUCCUGGCAGGAUUGCAUCUGAGAAAUAUUAGCAAAGUAAAAAACAUUAUUUUAAAAAGUAAUUGUUUUUUUUUUUUUCCAAAAGGCGAGCUGUACUUAACUAUGGUGCCUGUCAACAAGAUAAGAAUGUGAGAUAGUUAGAGAGAGUUUAAGGUGUCGAACAGUGAAGUACAUGCUUGGCGGAGGCGUAGUGUGACUGCCUCGUUCGGUAGGCCAACUCGCAAACAAUUCAACUAAUUCCUAUCACCGUAUGUCUACAUUAUUCGUGUUUAAGGAGGUUUUAAUGGCAUUUAAAAAGAAAGACACGCUCAAUAUGUGAAACUAGGGAGAGAAUUUUGAAAUGAAAGACUUCCACAGAAAUCUUACAUUGAAAUUUCUGCCAAUACAUUAAGCGAUCCUUUCUGCAACCGCAACAAUGUCUCCAUACUACUAUUUGCUGCAACUAUAUUUGGGAAUCUACCAUGCAACGUCUCCACCUGCCAGUUGAGGUAACUGAAAUUAAAUGAACACAACACCUGUAGCGAUGCUAGCGGUAUAAAAAUUCUGAACUCUUCCUGAUGCUCUGGAUUCCUCUUAUAGUCACGCUGUACCCCGUAGGCUUGGACCUUGGAGCGCU
Octopus sinensis (East Asian common octopus) is the source of this 850-nucleotide long non-coding RNA. RefSeq lists it as uncharacterized. The transcript has 4 exons. The record is from RefSeq and is a predicted model, not a curated record. NCBI's taxonomy places the organism in Eukaryota, Metazoa, Mollusca, Cephalopoda, Octopoda, Octopodidae.